This 468-nucleotide ribosomal RNA is filed under the name uncultured bacterium. RNAcentral describes it as "partial 16S ribosomal RNA". It matches the Rfam family "Bacterial small subunit ribosomal RNA", at positions 28 to 507 of the family's 1533-position model. The record is from RNAcentral.
GACGAACGCUGGCGGCGUGCUUAACACAUGCAAGUCGAACGGAAAGGCCCUGCUUUUGUGGGGUGCUCGAGUGGCGAACGGGUGAGUAACACGUGAGUAACCUGCCCUUGACUUUGGGAUAACUUCAGGAAACUGGGGCUAAUACCGGAUAGGAGCUCCUGCUGCAUGGUGGGGGUUGGAAAGUUUCGGCGGUUGGGGAUGGACUCGCGGCUUAUCAGCUUGUUGGUGGGGUAGUGGCUUACCAAGGCUUUGACGGGUAGCCGGCCUGAGAGGGUGGCCGGCCACAAUGGGACUGAGAGACGGCCCAGACUCCUACGGGAGGCAGCAGUGGGGAAUAUUGCACAAUGGGCGGAAGCCUGAUGCAGCAACGCCGCGUGCGGGAUGACGGCCUUCGGGUUGUAAACCGCUUUCGCCUGUGACGAAGCGUGAGUGACGGUAAUGGGUAAAGAAGCACCGGCUAACUACGUG